Molecule: ribosomal RNA, 301 nt
Filed under: uncultured bacterium
Lineage: Bacteria
Description: partial 16S ribosomal RNA
Rfam family: Bacterial small subunit ribosomal RNA
Source: RNAcentral
CAGCAGCCGCGGGAAUACGUAGGGUGCAAGCGUUAAUCGGAAUUACUGGGCGUAAAGCGUGCGCAGGCGGUUUUGUAAGACAGAGGUGAAAUCCCCGGGCUCAACCUGGGAACUGCCUUUGUGACUGCAAGGCUGGAGUGCGGCAGAGGGGGAUGGAAUUCCGCGUGUAGCGGUGAAAUGCGUAGAUAUGCGGAGGAACACCGAUGGCGAAGGCAAUCCCCUGGGCCUGCACUGACGCUCAUGCACGAAAGCGUGGGGAGCAAACAGGAUUAGAGACCCCCGUAGUCCCUGUCUCUUAUAC